UUUCUUUGCAGUUUUCAUCACUCUGGAGACAAGGACGGAACCCUGCAGUGGGGUUUCAGACUAAGAGACUGGGUGCAUCGAGUUUUAUUCAACACGUCAGACCAGUCCCUGAUUCAUAACAGUGUGCCUAAUACAGAAGAGGCACUGAAUAAGAAGGAUGAUGCUAGCACUACCCCUCAAAGCUGUUGGGAGGAUCAAAUGUGAUAAUAUUUGUGAAGUGCUUUGCCAACCUUCCAGUGCUAUAUGGAAGCUAGCUAGCUAAUGAAAGAAACCUUUUUUUGGAAUUGAAUUGAAUUGAAUUGAAUUGAGCUCAUGAGUGCCCAAGGCAGCCCACUCUACUUUUGGAGAAUCCAAAUGAUUGGGAAAUUUUCCCUCACAGCCAACUACGAUUUGCCUCUUUGCUACUUCCAGCUAUUGCUAUUAGUUCUGCCUUCUGGGGCCCAGCAGAAGUCAAAUUCUUCUCCUACAUAAUGAUCCUUCAAAUGGUUGAAAACAUCUUGUUUUCCUCCUAAAUAUCUUCUUCAGGCUAAAGCUCCUUCAAGAAACCCUCAUGGCAUAAUCUCAAGACACAUUUCCAUCCUGGUUACCCUCUCGUGGAAGCUCUCCAGCUUAUCCUUCUUCAAAUGUGGUUAUAUCAGUUCCUCCAUUUGCCUCUCCAAGGAGAACCUGUAAAUCCUCCUAUCUGGCUGGCUGCAAUUUCCUUAGGUUUGCAAGUUUCAUUUUUCACACGAAUAUGAAUAUUGAUGUCGUUCGGUUCUUUCAAUCAGAUAGCAAUUUGUUUACCUUUGAAGGACGAUAUACAGCAGAGACCCAUGUAUCCUUGGGGGAUAAGUUCCAAGACCUGAUGUGGAUGGCCAAAACCAAGGACAUAAAUGAACACCUGUCGACCUCUGAUAUACUGGCUCCUGCUCACUGGCUGGCCCCUCCGAGGCUUACCACCCCCAACAACCCCCCCAAAAAAAACCCCAUAGUGAGAGUGAAUGCAGAAGAACUGACAUGGACAGAGACCUCUGCUGAGGCACUGGGGAACCUCUGGAACUUCCCAGAAGGUGAAAUAAGAGUUGGCUCCAUAAUGACAUCAUUCGGUGAGUUCAGAAAUGGCUGAAUGAGCAAACCUGAAGAGUGGGUGUUAAUGGUUUCAUGUCCACUUGGAGAACUGUCUCUAGAAAGGUGCCGAGGAUCCGUCCUUCAGCCUUGCUGUUUGGCAUUUUUACCCAAGACUUACGUGAAAGGAAUAUGUGCAGAUAACACAAAAUUAGGCACUAAUAGCUAGCGGAUUGGAUGACAAAGCUAGGAUCUGGGCAGCUUAGAACAAUGAGGGGAAAUUUGAUUGACACAAAUAUAGAAUCCCAAGUGGGGUUAAUACAACUGACUUUACAGGUACAAGAUAGGGGAGAUAGAUUGGUCAACAGUUUCUGUUAAACCAUAGUUGGGUUUCAAUGUACUUAUUUGGUUGUGUUGAUUUUUUUCUUCUGUUUUCCCCUUGUCUUUAAAAAAGUACUAUUUGUUUAUAUAGGAUGGUUCUCUUGGAGGGGAAGGGGAAAAUACUGGGGGGGAUAUAAAAAACACAAAAGAAAGCAAUAAAAAUUUUUUAAUAAAAUAAAAUGAAGAUUAA
RNAcentral lists this long non-coding RNA (1615 nucleotides) under Monodelphis domestica (gray short-tailed opossum). Its description in RNAcentral is "lncRNA (ENSMODG00000045635.1)". The record is from RNAcentral. Lineage: Eukaryota; Metazoa; Chordata; Mammalia; Didelphimorphia; Didelphidae.